GUAAACAUGUGUUACUUCACUCCUACACACCGUUUAAACGCAGCUAACAGGCUUUCUGAAUAAACCAGCCCGCCCCCGGCGGUAUCAGGAGUUAGGUUCCGCAUAUGCUGUCGCCAGGCUGCAGCCGCCUGAGGGGACUCGCCCGGGGCCCCGCCCUCAGAGCUCACACCCGCCGUGCGCUCGCGCCCCAGGGGCCGCCCCCCGACACUCCAGUGCGACUCUGCGUGCACAGGCCAGAGGCUCAGAACCAGCGCCGGGCUGCCCUGCUCGGCCUCCUGGGCGCAGCGGCGUUUGCCCGUGCACGUGCCCUCGCAUCGCGCGCUCCGGGGCCGGGCUCCGGGCGGUUCUCGCCGCUGCAGUUCCACCGGGACUUCCGCGCUUCGGCGGCCUGUCUGACGAGCCGCCGCGCCCAGAGAGGUUCAGGUUGGAGCGACACUUGCCAGAGGGCAGCGGUCACGCCAGAUCUUCGGCUUCCAUUCCGUUUUCGCGCGCUUCUCCCUCUUUGCAAGGUGAGUGGAGCUCGUUUGUGGAUGUGUUAGCACAGGAUGCGGGAAUCCUGUGAAGCGAGUCAAUUCGGAGCCCGACGUGAACCAGGUGGGGUGGCAGCGGGAGCGCUCACAGGGUGGAGGCCCGUAGUAAGGACGCCAGUCCUCAGGGGACUCUCGGGCAUGAACGGCAGAGGACGGUGUGUGUCUGUGGGGACAGACGGGCAGCGUGUGGCGGGGUGUGUGUGAGAGACGCGAGUGAGCGGUGGGAUGCGCCUCCGUGCCGUGGGUGUGGCUGCGAGGCUGUGACAGGUGAGUGGCUGUGCUGGGGUGACGGGGAUUUGGUUGCGUGUCCUUCACCUGUGCGGGUGUGAUGGCUGUGGCUUUGUGGCGUCACUGUCUGGUGGCUCUGGGCUCCCUGGCGCUUCCUCCUCUUCUCUCCUCACAGCCACUUGGCUGCAAGAGGAAAGUAGGAUAUUGAGCCCUAAAGGAAGAUUUCCAGCCAGGGGGCACCGAGGUAAAGUAAACCCUGAAUAGGAAUAGAUGCAUUGAAGGCCACUAGGGAGAUUCAGAUAAUGUGACUUGGUGUUUGAUAAGGCAGUGAUGUCAUUCUGACUGCAGCCACCACUGUCGGGUUGCGAUCAAACUAUGAUGACCUAUGAGAGCACCAUGAUGCUCUGGAUUCUCUUUGUUCUUUCCCAGUAGAGGAAUCCCAAGGAGGACUGAUCCGUUUUGGCAGGUGCACAACCAUGCCCUAGGCUGAAUUCCAGGAUCUGAGAACACUCCUGUUUGCAGGCAAUGUUCUCCCCGGAAGGGCCAUAAGAGGAAUGGGCAGAACAUCCUGUUUGCAAGCCAGCUCAGCCGCAACUCAGCUCCAUGAAAUGUCCUGUAUGCAAGCACAUUCAUGUUCUUAGGCCAGAUCUCCUUCAAUGUUAUAUGUCUAUUAUAUCAAAAUUUUAAAUAAACGAA
Equus asinus (donkey) is the source of this 1454-nucleotide long non-coding RNA. The record is from Ensembl. NCBI's taxonomy places the organism in Eukaryota, Metazoa, Chordata, Mammalia, Perissodactyla, Equidae.